GACGAACGCUGGCGGCGUGCUUAACACAUGCAAGUCGAACGGAAAGGCCCUGCUUUUGUGGGGUGCUCGAGUGGCGAACGGGUGAGUAACACGUGAGUAACCUGCCCUUGACUUUGGGAUAACUUCAGGAAACUGGGGCUAAUACCGGAUAGGAGCUCCCGCUGCAUGGUGGGGGUUGGAAAGUUUCGGCGGUUGGGGAUGUACUCGCGGCGUAUCAGCUUGUUGGUGGGGUAGUGGCUUACCAAGGCCUUGACGGGUAGCCGGCCUGGGAGGGUGACCGGACACAUUGGGACUGAGAUACGGCCCAGACUCCUACGGGAGGCAGCAGUGGGGAAUAUUGCACAAUGGGAGGAAGCCUGAUGCAGCAACGCCGCGUGCGGGAUGACGGCCUUCGGGUUGGAAACCGCUUUCGCCUGUGACGAAGCGUGAGUGACGGUAAUGGGUAAAGAAGCACCGGCUAACUACGUG
This 468-nucleotide ribosomal RNA is filed under the name uncultured bacterium. Its description in RNAcentral is "partial 16S ribosomal RNA". It matches the Rfam family "Bacterial small subunit ribosomal RNA", at positions 28 to 507 of the family's 1533-position model. The record is from RNAcentral.